AUGGGGACGGUGCAGGUACAAGGUGUGGCGGCGUCGGGGAGGAUGCCGUCCAUGGAGGCGGAGCCAAAGACGCUCACCCUCGAGCAGCUCAAGUACGCAAGGGAGGCGGCGCUGUACGUGGUGAGCACGAGGACGACUGAGGAAGCCAUCAGGAUCUUCACGGAAGGGCUCAAGCCAGUGCGGGGCGUGCGGAAGAUGGGCUCCUCCAUGACUGACUCGUCGGACGACGACGUUGAGCUCGGCUCGUCGGAGGAUUCGACGCCGCGCGGUGGCGGCGGCACGGGUUGUCGCCCCCACGGACGCUCCAUCAAGAGAGACAUUGCCACUGCACCGUUCUAG
This 339-nucleotide ribosomal RNA is filed under the name Triticum aestivum (bread wheat). Its description in RNAcentral is "partial small subunit ribosomal RNA". The record is from RNAcentral. Lineage: Eukaryota; Viridiplantae; Streptophyta; Magnoliopsida; Poales; Poaceae.